UACGUAGGGGGCAAGCGUUGUCCGGAUUCAUUGGGCGUAAAGAGCUCGUAGGCGGCUUGGCAAGUCGGGUGUGAAAACUCCAGCUCAACCUGGAGACGCCACCCGAUACUGCCAUGGCUAGACGUCCGGUAGGGGACCACGGAAUUCCUGGUGUAGCGGUGGAAGUGCGCAGAUAUCAGGAGGAACACCGGUGGCGAAGGCGGUGGUCUGGGCCGGAACUGACGCUGAGGAGCGAAAGCGUGGGGAGCGAACAGG
RNAcentral lists this ribosomal RNA (255 nucleotides) under uncultured bacterium. RNAcentral's name for it is "partial 16S ribosomal RNA". It matches the Rfam family "Bacterial small subunit ribosomal RNA", at positions 524 to 776 of the family's 1533-position model. The record is from RNAcentral.